This 692-nucleotide ribosomal RNA is filed under the name uncultured delta proteobacterium. RNAcentral's name for it is "bacterial SSU rRNA". It matches the Rfam family "Bacterial small subunit ribosomal RNA", at positions 97 to 803 of the family's 1533-position model. Lineage: Bacteria; Deltaproteobacteria. The record is from RNAcentral. RNAcentral also lists the same sequence under 1 other name.
GGCAUCCGGGUGAGUAACGCGUAGGUCAUCUGCCCCUAUCACAGACAUAACAGUUCUAACGGACUGCUAAUAUCUGAUGAGGCGAGUAAUCGUCAAAGCUUAGGCGGAUAGGGAUGAGCCUGCGUCUGAUUAGGUAGUUGGUGAGGUAAUGGCUCACCAAGCCUUCGAUCAGUAGCUGGUCUGAGAGGACGAACAGCCACACUGGAACUGAGACACGGUCCAGACUCCUACGGGAGGCAGCAGUGAGGAAUAUUGGUCAAUGGGCGCAAGCCUGAACCAGCGACGCCGCGUGCGGGAUGAAGGGGCUUUGCCUCGUAAACCGCUGUCGGGUGGGACGAAAGGUAGCUUUGAGCUACUGGGACGGUACCAUCAAAGGAAGGAUCGGCUAACUACGUGCCAGCAGCCGCGGUAAUACGUAGGAUCCGAGCGUUGUCCGGAGUUACUGGGUGUAAAGGGUGCGUAGGCUGUUCUGUGCGUCAGAGGUGAAAUCCACGGGCUUAACUCGUGGGGUGCCUUUGAUACGGCAGGGCUUGAGUACGAGAGAGGUGCGUGGAAUUCCUGGUGUAGCAGUGAAAUGCGUAGAUAUCAGGAGGAACACCGGUGGCGAAGGCGGCGCACUGGCUCGUAACUGACGCUGAGGCACGAAAGCGUGGGGAUCAAACAGGAUUAGAUACCCUGGUAGUCCACGCCUU